GCUCAAAUACGAAAGCAUGGGGAGCAAACAGGAUUAGAUACCCUGGUAGUCCAUGCUGUAAACGAUGUCGAUUUGAAGGUUGUAGCCUUGAGCUAUAGCUCAAGGCUAACCUUCAAAUCGACCGCCUGGGGA
Molecule: ribosomal RNA, 132 nt
Filed under: Candidatus Palibaumannia cicadellinicola
Lineage: Bacteria; Pseudomonadati; Pseudomonadota; Gammaproteobacteria
Description: Candidatus Baumannia cicadellinicola partial 16S ribosomal RNA
Rfam family: Bacterial small subunit ribosomal RNA
Source: RNAcentral